CGGGGCCUUCUCUCCCCGGGGGCUCUGGUGCCAGCUGCCUGCCCCUCUGUUUACUGUUCUGGGAGGUGGCCAGGCCAUAAAAAGUGUGCACAGCCUGCCUGACAUCGCCCUUUGCUCCCAUGAUAACAGUGCACAAGGUGGAUCCUGGCCUGGCACAGGCCCCUGAAGUGCAGCAGGCACUUCUCUCUCUCCUCCUACCAGUGGCCUGGGAGACAGCGGGCAUUCAUUAGUAAUGGUGGACACCUGAGGCUUGGGAAAGAACCAGGGUUCCAAGAGUAGAGGGGGAGGGGCUGGUGAAAAGGCGGCUGGCCCGGACUGAAUAGAGUUUUCUGAUCUUCAAAAAAAUAUGCUCUGUGACCCUAGGGUAACUGCUUCCCCUCUUUGGGCCCGCAUUGCCCCAUCUGUAAACUUGGGGAAGUUGUCUACCAGAAAGAAAUAACUCUGGUCAAGUAAGUUUGGGAAAUCCUGCUGAAGCCACUUCUCUGAUAGAGUCACAGUGGGCCAUUAGCACAUCAAAGUCUCUGACAAGCCCCACAGCAAAGAAACCCCUUGAAUUUUCUUUCAUCUGGCCUUCCCCGUGCUUUGCUACCUAGGAGGCCCCUACUCACACCUCCGAGCAUCCCACUGAACUCCACACACUCUGCAGUGCUGGGAUGUUCAGGCUGGAGGGCCUCACCUUCUCUGUGUCUCAGUAUUUAGCAGCAGGUUUUGUCGUCAAAUGGCCUGGAUUUCAGCGUGACUACUUCCAAACUGCAAGACUUCAGGGCCCAGCACAUAAGAAGUGCCUGUUUUUGAGCCACCUGCUCACGGGGCUGCUGCUGCAUCCCAGUGUGAGAGGCUGGCAGGCGUGGCUGAUGUUCUACCCACCUGAAGGAGGACAAGCCUGUCUCCGCAUUAGGAAGACCUCUGCCCGGCAGGAGGUCAGUGGCCACUCCUCUGAUAGAGUCACAGCGGCGCAUUACCACAUCAAAGGGUGAGCUGCAGCAGUUGCCCACAUGGGAGGUCAGGAGGUUGGAUGCGACCCACAGGUUGGGUUGGUGCUCACCUACCAAUGGGUGUUUAGCCCCAUGAAAAAGGAAACUCAUCUAAGACAACUUCCAAGCAGUGCAACUUCCUGCCUUGUGCCUGGUGAGUUCCCUGUCACCCAGAGUUCCACCAGAGAUUGGGGUGUUGUAAUGGCUUAGGAAAGAGACCCUUCAAGUCUAGUCAAAUCUUAC
RNAcentral lists this long non-coding RNA (1217 nucleotides) under Homo sapiens (human). Its description in RNAcentral is "HSALNT0096148". The record is from RNAcentral. Lineage: Eukaryota; Metazoa; Chordata; Mammalia; Primates; Hominidae.